AGAAUCUGCUGAAGGAGGAUUCGUCCAACGGAAGUAGAGGAAAGUGGCGGACGGGUGAGUAACGCGUGAGGAACCUGCCUUGAAGAGGGGGACAACAGUUGGAAACGACUGCUAAUACCGCAUGAAGCAUAGGGGUCGCAUGAUUCUUAUGCCAAAGAUUUAUCGCUUCAAGAUGGCCUCGCGUCUGAUUAGCUAGUUGGCGGGGUAACGGCCCACCAAGGCGACGAUCAGUAGCCGGACUGAGAGGUUGAACGGCCACAUUGGGACUGAGAUACGGCCCAGACUCCUACGGGAGGCAGCAGUGGGGAAUAUUGGGCAAUGGGCGCAAGCCUGACCCAGCAACGCCGCGUGAAGGAAGAAGGCUUUCGGGUUGUAAACUUCUUUUAAGAGGGAAGAGCAGAAGACGGUACCUCUAGAAUAAGCCACGGCUAACUACGUGCCAGCAGCCGCGGUAAUACGUAGGUGGCAAGCGUUGUCCGGAUUUACUGGGUGUAAAGGGCGUGCAGCCGGGUCUGCAAGUCAGAUGUGAAAUCCAUGGGCUCAACCCAUGAACUGCAUUUGAAACUGUAGAUCUUGAGUGUCGGAGGGGCAAUCGGAAUUCCUAGUGUAGCGGUGAAAUGCGUAGAUAUUAGGAGGAACACCAGUGGCGAAGGCGGAUUGCUGGACGAUAACUGACGGUGAGGCGCGAAAGUGUGGGGAGCAAACAGGAUUAGAUACCCUGGUAGUCCACACUGUAAACGAUGAAUACUAGGUGUGCGGGGACUGACCCCCUGCGUGCCGCAGUAAACACAAUAAGUAUUC
Molecule: ribosomal RNA, 801 nt
Filed under: uncultured bacterium
Lineage: Bacteria
Description: bacterial SSU rRNA
Rfam family: Bacterial small subunit ribosomal RNA
Source: RNAcentral